This 516-nucleotide ribosomal RNA is filed under the name Triticum aestivum (bread wheat). RNAcentral's name for it is "partial small subunit ribosomal RNA". The record is from RNAcentral. Lineage: Eukaryota; Viridiplantae; Streptophyta; Magnoliopsida; Poales; Poaceae.
AUGGGUGCGGCAGAGUCAUCCUCCAAGCUUGGUGGUUCCGUCCAUGACUUCGUCGUUAAGGAUGUGAGAGGAAAUGAUGUGGAGCUCAGCAGAUACAAGGGGAAAGUCCUGCUUAUUGUGAAUGUCGCAUCUCGGUGUGGUCUGGCAAAUUCCAACUACACGGAGCUGGGCCAACUCUAUGAGAAAUACAGGGAGAAAGGUUUGGAGGUAUUGGCUUUCCCCUGCAAUCAGUUUGCCGGGCAGGAACCAGAUAGCGAUGAGAAGAUUGUGGAGUUUGCUUGCAAUCGCUUCCAAGCAGAGUUUCCUAUUUUUCGCAAGGUCGACGUGAAUGGCGACAAUGCUGCCCCGCUGUACAAGUUCUUGAAGUCAGAGAGAGGCGGUCUAUUCGGAGAGCGUAUCAAAUGGAACUUCACCAAGUUCCUAGUUGACAAAGAGGGGCACGUCAUGAACCGAUAUGCACCGACCUGGUCCCCACUCGGCAUUGAGAAUGACAUCAAGAAGCUGUUGGAGGUUUGA